Molecule: long non-coding RNA, 402 nt
Organism: Gallus gallus (chicken)
Lineage: Eukaryota; Metazoa; Chordata; Aves; Galliformes; Phasianidae
Source: Ensembl
GAACUCCUCAAAAUGGAAGGGGAUGUGGUUGCUAAGUGUAUUUCCUCAAACAGCUAUGUGAUCCACAGCUGCCUGACCUGUGCUAUUUCCUCGAGUUUGGAAGUCCCUUGUGGGUUUCUUCCAAAUGCAGUUUCUUCUGCCUUGAGAAAUUAGGACUCCACAAGUUUCAAGAUGAAGACCUGUGGAUCCCUGGAAGCAAGCAUGGCCACCAUGCACCAAAUUUGAGCAUCAGACAUGGGUCUGGUCUGUCCCUCACAGAUGGUUGAGGCAAAGCAGAUAAUGAGCUAGAUCUUUCCAGCAGACCAGCCCCACAGGGGACUCGUUCCAAAAGCUUAAGUGUUAUUAUCCCUUCCAUCUGCUCCCCAUGGAGCUUGAGGUAAGCUAUUCUUAAUGCCUUAUGAG